Non-coding RNA from Schistosoma rodhaini, 45 nucleotides. The record is from Rfam. Lineage: Eukaryota; Metazoa; Platyhelminthes; Trematoda; Strigeidida; Schistosomatidae.
AUCCAGCUGACGAGUCCCAAAUAGGACGAAACGCACGUCUUGGAU